RNAcentral lists this ribosomal RNA (505 nucleotides) under uncultured bacterium. RNAcentral describes it as "partial 16S ribosomal RNA". It matches the Rfam family "Bacterial small subunit ribosomal RNA", at positions 28 to 507 of the family's 1533-position model. The record is from RNAcentral.
GGCGGACGCUGGCGGCGUGCCUAAUACAUGCAAGUAGAACGCACAGUUUAUACCGUAGCUUGCUACACCAUGGACUGUGAGUUGCGAACGGGUGAGUAACGCGUAGGUAACCUGCCUGGUAGCGGGGGAUAACUAUUGGAAACGAUAGCUAAUACCGCAUAAUAUUGAUUAUUGCAUGAUAAUUGAUUGAAAGAUGCUAUUGCAUCACUACCAGAUGGACCUGCGUUGUAUUAGCUAGUAGGUGAGGUAACGGCUCACCUAGGCGACGAUACAUAGCCGACCUGAGAGGGUGAUCGGCCACACUGGGACUGAGACACGGCCCAGACUCCUACGGGAGGCAGCAGUAGGGAAUCUUCGGCAAUGGACGAAAGUCUGACCGAGCAACGCCGCGUGAGUGAAGAAGGGUUUCGGAUCGUAAAGCUCUGUUGUAAGAGAAGAACGGGUGUGAGAGUGGAAAGUUCACACUGUGACGGUAGCUUACCAGAAAGGGACGGCUAACUACGUG